UUUAACGGAGAGUUUGAUCCUGGCUCAGGACGAACGCUGGCGGCGUGCCUAAUACAUGCAAGUCGAGC
RNAcentral lists this ribosomal RNA (68 nucleotides) under Bacillota bacterium. RNAcentral's name for it is "partial 16S ribosomal RNA". It matches the Rfam family "Bacterial small subunit ribosomal RNA", at positions 1 to 67 of the family's 1533-position model. Lineage: Bacteria; Bacillati; Bacillota. The record is from RNAcentral.